UUCGUUUCUACUAUCUAUUGCAAUUGUGCAAUUAUAAUAAUAAUUAUUUCUAAAUCUUUGAUUUUGCUAAGUUCUCUCUUACAUUGAUUUGCUUUUCCGUUUGGGAUUUUGGAACUAGAAGGAGGAUGGGUCGGGUCGGGCCUUGAGAGUUGCAGUUUUGGAUUCUUUGAGAUUUUGCUCCUUCUGUAGUUCAACAGCCUCUGGUUAUAGCCUUAUCAGGUGAUUUUGUUCCACUUAAUAGACUCAAUAAUUGAAUAAUACUCUUUGGUGUUGCAAAUGCUUGAUGGUGGUUUUUCAAAUACAUGGAUUGCAUAUAGAAUAUUGUUAACUAUUCUGGUAACGGUAUCCUUCACCGAGAGAAGCUUUUCAAAGUUGAAAUUGAUAAAAUCAUAUCUUUGGUUCACCAAGUCGAAAGAAAGGUUAAAUGAGUUAGUUAUGUUGUCUAUUGAAAGUGAUUUGCGGAAAAUGUUGAUUAUACUAACAUAAUUAGUGAUUUUGCAUCUCAAUAUGCUAAACGAGUUAUAUUUAAGUAAUAUAUAUUUUUCAUAGAGUUAGACUUUUAAGAACUAUAUGACAAUCGCAACAAAAAAAUUUUAGUGGGUCCUUUUUUUACAGUGUGCCCAGAGCCCCCGUAGACUCAAGUACGCCACUGUUUAGAAUGCACAUUGCUUCUGGGGCCAUUUCUUUGUCUGCCCACCGCUUUGAAUCUUGUAUUUCCUUAGUGCCUAACAGCUAAGGAAGCUCUUACUUCACUGCGAGUCUAUUAUCUGGAAGGUAAUUCAUAACUCGUGAUUGCGAUUUUGAAUAGCAACAACAACAACUCUUUUGAAGUCACUUUUUAGGGGUCUCAAGCAUUAUCUUUUAUGUUAUUAUAGACAAGACUUUUUCUUUUUUCGCGUGGUAGAUAAAGUAUUUGACAAUUUGAUUAUGUAUACAUGUCUAUAUUUAUAUUGCUCGUCUAUAUAAUUUUUUUUUUCAUAAAUCAAGAUAUUCACAAAUAAUUUUACGUCUUUAAUAUAUUACCAUAUAUUUUUAAUAUAUAUUACCAUAUAUUUUUAAUACUUUUAGUCUUUUACGUUUUUGGCUUUUUACCAUAAAUAAACCUCACCUACCACAUUCCAUUGUAAUAUUGUAUGAUCCCCGUUCGUUCACCUUAACCUAGAAAUUAAAUCUGCUUUCAUUAGGAGAUUUUCAGAGUCGGUGGUCGCCGCAAGAACGUUCACCUUCCCGAGGAGAUCGCUUGCCAAGCACCGGCCUUUCCUGCCUGCGUGCAAUUUCGGGAUGGAAGACACUAGUUUGAGCGAGGGCGAGAGCGAGAGCAAAGACGACGAAGAAGAUGGAAAAUUCAAGAUCUUACAACAUCAGAUCAGUAAUCCACCAAAACCGUCCCCUCUCAGAAUUGGACAAAGGUCAGCCCGAAUAUGCCUAGUAUUUCCAUCCCGAUUCAGCAGCGUUAUUGCAGCCUCAAUGAUCCGCAUCAAUGAAUGCAGUGGAUGGUAUAUCAAUAUUAAGUGAUAAGACCAUCUGCCGUAGAGGAAUACUUGGAUAGAAGCUGCGGUGUGUUGGCUUGUCUUCCUUGCAGAAAGAGCCCUGAAUGGUGUACAUCGGCACAUGCUGUCGUUCUCCCUUUCUCCUUUACUUAAGUAACUCAAUAACAAGCGAGGGGGAGAAACAGAACUUCCAAGGUGGCAGUACUACCAGAUGCGGCACUUUAUUCGACAACCAUUAUGGGCCAAGGCCAGCGCAUAAAUGCAACUACGAUUGUCGCAACGAACGUGGGUGGCCGUGUAUUCUUGCUUAGUGAAGCAUAACAGCAAGCCAUGAAGAGAAUUGGGUUAAAACACAAAUGUGUCGGAGCUCAUAAUCAUCAGAUUAGUAAUCCACCAAAGAUAAUGCAGUACUGUGAAGCAGGAAUUUAAUAUACCUAAAUAUUGCGCGAGGCACAUGGCUAUCUUGUGUGUGCUGCUCCAUUGGGUAUGGCAACAUGUUUCAACUCUUCGGGGUCCACAAGAAUUGCUAUUCGAGGCAGCUUUCGAUGUUUCUUUCAGCUUUAUGGUUGCAGUAUCGGAGCUGUUGAGUCUUGCUUUGAGUCUAUUAGGAGAUUAUGCUUAAACCUCCAUUUUUUUCUCCACAAUAUUAGUUAUUUGUAUGUAAUAAAAAUAUGUUAAUAGACAAGUUAUGUGCACAGUGUGUGAUUAUCUUGUUUAUUAUUAAUUUUACAGUAUGGAUUAUCAUUCUGUUAACAUGGUAAAUUCUCCCA
Long non-coding RNA from Tripterygium wilfordii, 2260 nucleotides. RefSeq lists it as uncharacterized. The record is from RefSeq and is a predicted model, not a curated record. NCBI's taxonomy places the organism in Eukaryota, Viridiplantae, Streptophyta, Magnoliopsida, Celastrales, Celastraceae. The transcript has 6 exons.